GAGACUCUGUGCGCGUGCAUAUCAAUAAGCGGAGGAAAAGAAACUAACAAGGAUUCCCUUAGUAACGGCGAGUGAGGCGGGAAGAGCUCAAAUUUGAAAUCUUCAAGGUUCUACCUUGACGAAUUGUAGUUUAUAGAAGUGUUUUCUGUUAGUAGGAGUGGCAAAAGUUCUUUGGAAUAGGACAUCAUAGAGGGGUGAGAAUCCCGUAUUUGGUCAUUCCUUCUAGCGUUGUGAUACACUUUCAACGAGUCGGAUUGUUUGGAAUGCAGUCCAAAAUGGGUGGUAAAUUUCAUCUAAAGCUAAAUAUUGGCGAGAGACCGAUAGCGAACAAGUACCGUGAGGGAAAGAUGAAAAGAACUUUGAAAAGAGAGUUAAACAGUACGUGAAAUUGUCAGAAGGGAAGCGUUUGACACCAGUGUUGUUUUUCCGAAAAUCAAUUACGAAUGUUUUAUUUUUGAGAAGUUAUGACUUCAUCGGCUUGCUUCUCUCUUUAUGAAACUUUCUUAAUGCACUUUUCGGUUAACAAGUCAACAUCAAUUUCUUUUGUUGUAAAAGGGUAUGAGGAAGGUGGCUUUCUUUUCGGAGAAAGUGUUUAUAGCCUUGUACCUCUGCAAUCGGAGAGAUUGAGGUCUGCAGCGUAGAUCCUUCGGGGUUAGAUACAUUUGUGCUAAGUUAUAGCUUUUCAUAGACAACUUGUUGACUAUGUUUAGUCUUGUAGCUUACUCGCUUAUGCUAUUUUACCUACGCUUAGGAUGUUGACAGCAGUAUAGACUGU
Molecule: ribosomal RNA, 775 nt
Filed under: uncultured Neocallimastigales
Lineage: Eukaryota; Fungi; Neocallimastigomycota; Neocallimastigomycetes; Neocallimastigales
Description: partial large subunit ribosomal RNA
Rfam family: Eukaryotic large subunit ribosomal RNA
Source: RNAcentral